Molecule: ribosomal RNA, 435 nt
Filed under: uncultured bacterium
Lineage: Bacteria
Description: bacterial SSU rRNA
Rfam family: Bacterial small subunit ribosomal RNA
Source: RNAcentral
UACGGGAGGCAGCAGUGGGGAAUAUUGGACAAUGGGCGAAAGCCUGAUCCAGCCAUGCCGCAUGAGUGAAGAAGGCCUUCGGGUUGUAAAGCUCUUUUAGUGAGAAAGAUAAUGACGGUACUCACAGAAGAAGUCCUGGCUAACUCCGUGCCAGCAGCCGCGGUAAUACGGAGAGGGCUAGCGUUAUUCGGAAUUAUUGGGCGUAAAGAGCGCGUAGGCUGAUUAGUAAGUUAAAAGUGAAAUCCCAAAGCUUAACUUUGGAAUUGCUUUUAAAACUAGCUAGUCUAGAGAUUGUAAAGAGGAUAGAGGAAUUCCUAGUGUAGAGGUGAAAUUCGUAAAUAUUAGGAGGAACGACCAGUGGCGAAGGCGGUCUAUCUGGUUCAAAUCUGACGCUGAGGCGCGAAGGCGUGGGGAGGCAAACAGGGAUUAGAUACC